Molecule: unclassified non-coding RNA, 715 nt
Filed under: Zea mays
Lineage: Eukaryota; Viridiplantae; Streptophyta; Magnoliopsida; Poales; Poaceae
Description: misc RNA Zm00001eb387660
Source: RNAcentral
UUGGAUCCAACCUGAACGCGCACACGCAGCCAAACCAAAAGGCCGCACGCGUUUAUUGAAGAUGCAUGGGAUCUUUUGAGCCAAACCAAACUCCGUCUCAAAAAUACACACUCAUACUAUUACUAUCUAAUAUCUAUCCACAAAAUUGUCCCCGCGUCGCCGGCUCGGCUCGGCUCGGUUCGAGUUCGACGCGCGCGGGGCUGGCCUCUUUUGUCCUCCUCUCUCCCCCUCUGGCGGCUACGCUGCCGCCGUGCCAUCAUCACCGCCGCCGCCGAGCGGCUUGACGCUGGCGAGGAAGGACGGCUGCGCGCGGUCGCCGGGCAUGAAGACGACGACCUUGGGCUCGCGGUCCAGCGGCGCGAGCGCCGCCCUCUCGUCGGCCGCCCCAUCAUCCCGCCGCCGCGAGGACGACGCCUUCUUGCGCGUGCAGAUGAGCACGAGCAGAGCCGUCGCGAUGACGCACAUCAUGAAGGCCAGGCCUAGGAAGACGUAUGGGGUCGGCGUCUUCCAUAGGCUCGGCGGGGCCCCGCCUGCGCCGCCCGUUAGCUUCGCCGAAACACCUCCACCAUCUCUCCCCGGCCUCAUCUUCUUCUUCUUCUCUCUCUCUCUCGCUCUCGCUCUUGCUUUUAUGUGUACUAGCAGCGCAACGAAGAGACCUCUAGCUAUUGCCUAUUGGGCUAUUGGCUUGUUUCUGGGAUCUUCGGUGGAAUGGAAA